UAAUACAGAGACCUCAAGCGUUAUCCGGAAUCAUUGGGCGUAAAGCGUUCCGAUAGGUUGUUUUGAAAGUUUUGGGUAAAAGCCAGAAGCUUAACUUCUGAGUUUGCUCAAAAUACUGCAAGACUAGAGGGGCAAAGAGGUGCUUGGAACGAACGGUGUAGUAGUGAAAUGCGUUGAUAUCGUUCGGAACACCGAAAGCGAAGGCAGAGCACUGGGUGCCACCUGACACUGCUAGGACGAAAGCGUGGGGAGCGAAUGGGAUUAGAUACCCCAGUAGUCCACGCUGUAAACGAUGAAUACUAGGCAUGCGCGAGUAUCGACCCUCGUGCGAGCCGUAGCUAACGCGUUAAGUAUUCCGCCUGGGGAGUACGGUCGCAAGACUA
RNAcentral lists this ribosomal RNA (383 nucleotides) under uncultured bacterium. Its description in RNAcentral is "bacterial SSU rRNA". It matches the Rfam family "Bacterial small subunit ribosomal RNA", at positions 521 to 896 of the family's 1533-position model. The record is from RNAcentral.